RNAcentral lists this ribosomal RNA (303 nucleotides) under uncultured bacterium. RNAcentral describes it as "partial 16S ribosomal RNA". It matches the Rfam family "Bacterial small subunit ribosomal RNA", at positions 507 to 808 of the family's 1533-position model. The record is from RNAcentral.
AGCAGUAGCCGCGGUAAUACGGAGGGUGCAAGCGUUAUCCGGAUUCACUGGGUUUAAAGGGUGCGUAGGCGGGCAGGUAAGUCAGUGGUGAAAUCUUCGAGCUUAACUCGGAAACUGCCGUUGAUACUAUCUGUCUUGAAUAACGUUGAGGUGAGCGGAAUAUGUCAUGUAGCGGUGAAAUGCUUAGAUAUGACAUAGAACACCGAUUGCGAAGGCAGCUCACUAAACGCUCAUUGACGCUGAGGCACGAAAGCGUGGGGAUCAAACAGGAUUAGAUCCCGAGUAGUCCCUGUCUCUUAUACA